UGGGGAAUAUUGGACAAUGGGCGAAAGCCUGAUCCAGCCAUGCCGCGUGUGUGAAGAAGGUCUUCGGAUUGUAAAGCACUUUAAGUUGGGAGGAAGGGCAGUAAGCGAAUACCUUGCUGUUUUGACGUUACCGACAGAAUAAGCACCGGCUAACUCUGUGCCAGUAGCCGCGGUAAUACAGAGGGUGCAAGCGUUAAUCGGAAUUACUGGGCGUAAAGCGCGCGUAGGUGGUUCGUUAAGUUGAAUGUGAAAGCCCCGGGCUCAACCUAGGAACUGCAUCCAAAACUGGCGAGCUAGAGUAGGGCAGAGGGUGGUGGAAUUUCCUGUGUAGCGGUGAAAUGCGUAGGUAUAGGACGGAACACCAGUGGCGAAGGCGACCACCUGGGCUCAUACUGACACUGAGGUGCGAAAGCGUGGGGAGCAAACAGG
This 429-nucleotide ribosomal RNA is filed under the name Pseudomonadota bacterium. RNAcentral describes it as "Proteobacteria bacterium partial 16S ribosomal RNA". It matches the Rfam family "Bacterial small subunit ribosomal RNA", at positions 355 to 776 of the family's 1533-position model. Lineage: Bacteria; Pseudomonadati; Pseudomonadota. The record is from RNAcentral.